Molecule: ribosomal RNA, 465 nt
Filed under: uncultured bacterium
Lineage: Bacteria
Description: partial 16S ribosomal RNA
Rfam family: Bacterial small subunit ribosomal RNA
Source: RNAcentral
CUACGGGGGGCUCCAGUGGGGAAUAUUGCACAAUGGAGGAAACCCUGAUCCAGCAAUGCCGCGUGUGUGAAGAAGGCCUGCGGGUUGUAAAGCACUUUCGGUUGGGAGGACUGCUUCUAGCACUAAUAUUGUUGGAAGUUGACGUUACCUUCAGAAGAAGCACCGGCUAACUCCGUGCCAGCAGCCGCGGUAAUACGGAGGGUGCAAGCGUUAAUCGGAAUUACUGGGCGUAAAGCGCGCGUAGGCGGCUAGAUCAGUCGGGUGUGAAAGCCCCGGACUUAACCUGGGAACUGCAUCCGAUACUGUCUAGCUUGAGUACAGGAGAGGAGAGUGGAAUUCCACAUGUAGCGGUGAAAUGCGUAGAUAUGUGGAGGAACACCAAUGGCGAAGGCAGCUCUCUGGCCUGAUACUGACGCUGAGGUGCGAAAGCGUGGGGAGCAAACAGGGUUAGAUACCCUCGUAGUC